Pelobates cultripes (western spadefoot toad) is the source of this 304-nucleotide non-coding RNA. The record is from the annotation of a GenBank genome assembly. Lineage: Eukaryota; Metazoa; Chordata; Amphibia; Anura; Pelobatidae.
CUUCAAAGGAGCACCAAACUUGAAAUCAAUGUUAGCUCUGAGCCAAUUACCAGAAAACAAAAAAGGCACGGAGAACCCUUUUAAUUUAGGAAAUGUUUUUUAUAAAUGUGGAUCAUGAAGCGUAUGUUGAACUAGUGCAAAAACAAAUAAUAAAUGCACAGAAUUGAAAUCAUACCACACUGGAGAAGAGUUCAAGAUAAAAAAAUUUGAUCACGUGCAAUACAAAAGGAGUAAUUUAUCUGGUAUACUGUACAUGUGUACUACAGUACAUCAGACAAACAACUGAAGAAACGAUUGUACCAAC